This 464-nucleotide ribosomal RNA is filed under the name uncultured bacterium. RNAcentral describes it as "partial 16S ribosomal RNA". It matches the Rfam family "Bacterial small subunit ribosomal RNA", at positions 339 to 795 of the family's 1533-position model. The record is from RNAcentral.
CUACGGGCCGCAGCAGUGGGGAAUAUUGCACAAUGGGCGCAAGCCUGAUGCAGCCAUGCCGCGUGUAUGAAGAAGGCCUUCGGGUUGUAAAGUACUUUCAGCGGGGAGGAAGGGAGUAAAGUUAAUACCUUUGCUCAUUGACGUUACCCGCAGAAGAAGCACCGGCUAAGUCCGUGCCAGCAGCCGCGGUAAUACGGAGGGUGCAAGCGUUAAUCGGAAUUACUGGGCGUAAAGCGCACGCAGGCGGUUUGUUAAGUCAGAUGUGAAAUCCCCGGGCUCAACCUGGGAACUGCAUCUGAUACUGGCAAGCUUGAGUCUCGUAGAGGGGGGUAGAAUUCCAGGUGUAGCGGUGAAAUGCGUAGAGAUCUGGAGGAAUACCGGUGGCGAAGGCGGCCCCCUGGACGAAGACUGACGCUCAGGUGCGAAAGCGUGGGGAGCAAACAGGAUUAGAUACCCUCGUAGUC